RNAcentral lists this ribosomal RNA (370 nucleotides) under uncultured bacterium. RNAcentral's name for it is "bacterial SSU rRNA". It matches the Rfam family "Bacterial small subunit ribosomal RNA", at positions 917 to 1289 of the family's 1533-position model. The record is from RNAcentral.
GGGCCCGCACAAGCGGUGGAGCAUGUGGUUUAAUUCGAUGAUACGCGAGGAACCUUACCAGGGCUUAAAUGUAGUAUGACCGGUCUAGAAAUAGACCUUCUCUUCGGAGCAGAUUACAAGGUGCUGCAUGGUUGUCGUCAGCUCGUGCCGUGAGGUGUUAGGUUAAGUCCUGCAACGAGCGCAACCCCUAUUCUUAGUUGCCAGCGGUUCGGCCGGGGACUCUAAGAAGACUGCCAGCGCAAGCUGAGAGGAAGUGGGGAUGACGUCAAAUCAUCACGGCCCUUACGUCCUGGGGCUACACACGUGCUACAAUGGUACAGACAGAGGGCAGCCACCUGGCGACAGGGAGCGAAUCCUUAAACUGUAUCUC